Microtus ochrogaster (prairie vole) is the source of this 1703-nucleotide RNA transcript. RefSeq lists it as uncharacterized. Lineage: Eukaryota; Metazoa; Chordata; Mammalia; Rodentia; Cricetidae. The record is from RefSeq and is a predicted model, not a curated record.
GAGAGAGAGAGAGAGAGAGAGAGAGAGAGAGAGAGAGAGAAUACCAGUUGGAGGAUUUCUCCGGAGUCAGGCAGGCCUGCGAGAGGAGCUAUGAGCUUGGAAAAGGGAGAGCUGUGCCGGUGGAUGCUACUGAGCCUGAGCCGGUUUGUGUUCUUCCUCCCACUUUUGGUCACGGAUGUGCUGUAUGACAGUGCAUCAUGGGUAGUGCGGAGAGCCAUUACUGUUCACAGACCUGAGAACAAGCAAUUGUAAGUAAUGCGGUCUUCUGUGAAUUCCUGAGCUGUCUGUUCACUACUCCCACUUCGAAGAAUCCUGUGUCUCUGACAUAAUUAAAAUGUUCAUUAAUGUAAUCAUACAGUCCUAAGGUUUCAGUCCAUCAUCAAACGAAGCCAAGAAAAGAACUGGAGGCAGACGGUUGAAGCAGAAACUAUGGAAGGAGCUGCUUUGAGGCUUGCUUUUCCACAGCUACCUUUCAUGCAACUCCAGCCAUCUGACUAUGAUGGUACAUCAUGCAGUAGGCUUGGCCCUCUUGCCUCAGUGAACAGUUAAGACAAUACCCUUCAAACAUAUCACAGUCAAUAUCAUCAAGGCAUUUCUUCAGUGUGGGGUUUGCUCUGCUCAGUCAGUUCUGGGUUGGAGUCAAGUUGGCAGCUGAAGAUAACUAGGUCAGCUGGCCAUUUUUACGUGACAUUCAAGACAUAAUAACAAUAUAAGGAAAAUCAAUUGAGUGGAUUUGAGUUAAAUAAGCAAAAAUGCAUCGUGAAUUAUUACAGUAAAGCUGGUGUCCCCCCACAACGGAGUGCGGUGGAAACUGCACAGCAUAAGAAGAGAACUAUUUUUAACAUGCUUGCCUCGAACUCUGUGUAGGUACCUAGGAAUUCUCCCAGUCAGCACUGGGAUACUGCACUGUUGUGCAAAUAGAAGUCCCUGAGAGAAAGUUGACUUGCUCAGGUCUAGCAGAAGGCACAGGGCAAAGGAAAAGGGCCAACUACUCUGUUUUUCCAUGACAUGAUUCCGCACGUUAUUGAAGUUAUUUAUCUCAGAGGGCCCUGCAAUUUGAGCAUCAGCAGUGUAAAGUAGCCAUGUCUUAAUCAAAAGGAGAAAAAAGUUAUUUUUCCUUUAUGGUAUUGAAAUUAGAUCACCAGGGCUGGGGAAAAAAAUCAUCAAAGGUUAAGCACUCUUGAUGUUAUUGCAAAGGAUUAAGUUUGCUUUCCAGAACCCAUGUGUGGCCACGCAGCCCACAGUUGCCUGUAAAUCCAGAUCCAGAGGAUCUGGCUUCCUCUUCUUCUCUGCUGAUAUCUGCUGUCGCACACAUACCUCCACAUGGACAUACCCGCACACACAGAGUUAAAACAAAUAAAUCUUUCAAAAAUUAAUCCUACCAUGAAAUGUAAGGAUAUGCAAAAUCUAAUUAUACUCUGGUAAUAUUAUGAAAACAACUUUGUGCUGAAAUGAUUUGUUUUCAUUAUAUUUUUGAAACCAAUAUUCAGAAAUAAAGAGCAAAAAUGGCAUUUUUUUAGUAAUAAUUAAGUCUAAUGUUGUUGAAUGAAAUUAUGAGGACAUUUGAAAUAAUUCCCCUAUAAAAUUGUGCUGAAAAUGAGUUAGAAUGCAUGAAAACAUACUCUGUGGCAAUGAUGUCUUGUACAACUAAUUUUCAUCCAUAGUUGCACAGGAAAAUGUAUUAUCUUUUAUUUAUCUUUAAC